UUUACCUUCCCAUGUGUCUUUGACUAAUGCAGUUUUUCCUGAACCCCAAAAUACAAAGGAAAGUUCCAGGCAAAUAGAUGGAAAUCAUUCUGAAGGAUAAAAUUGUAAAGCACAUAGAAGAACAGAACCAGCAUGGCUUCUGCAAAGGAAGGUGCACUUGUCCACUUAUCAGAAAGAAACCAAAGAGAAUGGAAUGCUUCAUCUUUAUGCAGCGUUGAGAUAUGUUUGUAUUGUCAGAAAUUAUAAAAUUUCUUCAUGCUGAACGCAAACUGUUUUAGUUUAAAGGGGGGAGGGAGAAAGGGGAGGAUCUGAAGACAGAAAGGUAAGAGGAGGAAGAGGUGGUACUCAAGGGAGCCCAAUAAUACUCUUUUGCCCCAGAGCUUGCAAAGACCUGGAGCUAGCUAUAGCUAAACCCUUGAUGUUUAAACAUAUUUUUUCUUAAGUUUUCUCUUUCAGAUACCACAGGGAGCUUCAGCAAUGUCCACUAUACAAGACCUUUACCAAUAUGCACAUUAUGUAUUUAUUUAUUUUAUUGAAUUCCUAUACUGCCUAAUAUAGAAAUCUCUAUGCAGUGUUACGUGUGUCUGUUUCAGAUUAUAUUUAAUUUUUUAUUAUUUAUUAAUUUAAUUUAAUUUUCAUUGCAAACUGCCCAGAGACGUGAGUUUUGGGUGGUAUCGAAAUUUGUUAAAUAAAUAAAUAAAUAAAUAAAUAAAUAAAUAAAUAAAUACACAAUAAAACGAACUAUUAAAAAACCCAAUGAGUUAAAACAAUUUAAAACAUCCAAAGAUUACUAAAAGCCAGGCUAUAGCUUGUUUCUUUGAGCAAAGUCCCUUUCAUAUGUUAAAGAGGUUUGCAUUUUGAAGCUGACUCUCUUGUGCAGCAUUAUUAAGUCCCCCCCACCUUUAUUAAAGCCAAUUUAGAUAAAAGAUAAAUGGCUCAAUGAACAAAAUGGCUAGUAAAAAAUUCUUUCCCCAUCCCUGUAGGUUUCUAGUCACCAGGCAGAACUGCCUUAUCUCAGCAAUAGCCAGUAGAGUAAAGCAAUGUACAAAAACAUAAAAUAAAAAAGAACAGUUGUUUGAUAUGCCAGUCUGGCCAAUGUCUCUGUCUUGCCUGACAGCUCUUGUUUUGUUUAGAGUAUGUACUUUUAGUUCAUGGGAAGUAGCCAGAAAAUAAAGCUGCUGGUGACUCCCCCUGCUGCCACUCAGGAGUGCACCCCUGACUACAGGGAUGUGUGUGUGUGUGUGUGUUUUUGUAAUGCUGCAUUUCAUAACUGUGAGGUCAGUCAGUUUUCUUAGUUGGGCACAGGCUGAACCUUGAAACACAACCAGAAGCCGUGAAACUGCUACAUAAGCAAAUUGUAAAGAAUGAGCAGGCUGGCAUUGCAUUGCAGCAGACAAUCUGAAGACAUUUUUUGAUAAAAAAUCAUGAAAAAUAAUGAAAAAGCACCCUUUCUUUUUCUCCAGCUACUGCUGAAAACUCUUGUGCUAGGCCUACAAUUCUCAUUUCCUGAAUGAAAAAUCAACAACAACCUUCUAAACCAAGGGAUUCUACAGAUUUACAGAGUGAAAUGUUUAAACCAAAUAUACUGUAUAUGUAAAUUUAAAAUCUCACUUGAAUUGUGUACUUAAGACAUACUAGUCAAAGAAGACAUAUUCUUUUACUCCAUCUCUCUACUCAGUUCAGGAGACUGCUGUAUCAUCCCUGGGUUGGUUCACAUGAACAUGGUCUCAAAUUAACACAGGAAGAGGGGUGGGGAUGCACUGAGAGUGCUCUUGCCUGGAUAUCACUAUAGUGUUGCCAUCUUGGGACUUUCGAACCGGAUUUUAGACUAUUUUAAAAUCCCCUUCAACUAUUUUCUUGUUGGAGGGAGUCUUAGGCAUGCCACCACAAUUUGUCUGCCUCCUUUCACCUGCAUUGAACUUUUUUUCUGGGCUGUUGACUGCUGUCUGGCAGCAGCAACAGAGAAAGAAAAUAGUUAAGAAAAUGGUUACAAAUUAGCACUGCCUUCUCCCAGCAGCAGCAGCAGCAGCAGCCACUGCCGCCGCCACUGCCACUGCCGCCACCUGAUUGGUUCUUCUCCUGGAACUCCAUCUUGUGCUCCUCCCCUGCUCAGCAUUUGAAUUCAGUUGCUGAGUGAGGAAGCAAUGAGGAGCUGGAGGUAGAAGCUGCCUGUAAAACCAACCAACCAACCAACCCUUAUAUCUUUAUUUUUUAUGUGUGAUUUCUUUUCACUUAGAAGCCAGUACCUUUUCACUUAGUACCCAGAAUGUUGGGGGCAAUAUGCUAAAAUCAUUGUAAACCGCUUAGAGAGCUUCGGCUAUAGAGCGGUAUAUAAAUGUAAGUGCUAUUGCUAUUGCUGUUGCUAAGCCACUGUGUGCUUUCCCCUUUCCCACAUUUAUGAACCCUGUGUGUGUGUGUGUGUGUGUGCGCGCGCAUAUGUGAGAGAUUUAUUUUAUUUUAUUUAUUGUUAAAUUAAUACCUCGCCUUUCAUUAAGAAAAUCUCACAAUAAAAUUUAAAAACAUGAUUAUAAAAAAGACACAUUAAAAUAUUGAGCUAAAAAGUAAAUCUGAUUAAAAAUAAUAAUAAUAAAUUAAAACAAAAGCAUAAAACAGUACAAAAUACAAGAAGCAGCAGUGGAGACAAUCAUAUAAAAGCCUGGGUAAAAAGCCAUGAUUUGACAUGCUUUCUAAAAAUUGUGAUGGAGACUGAGGAGUGGAUACCCACCCCCACUUGAAAGCCUCCAUUUCUGUGCACAUGUUUCUUCCCCAACCCCUUGUUUGUACCUGUGAGAGAUUUUUAACUUUAAAAAAAUAAUUUUCCAAGCCAUACCAAAAAAAAGUUGUCAACAAGCGUAAGUUAAAACUCUUAGAGAACAAACUUGUAAGAAAAACUCUCCCCACCCCAACAGUACACUUUCUUGAGGAGAUUAGUUACUACAUGUUUUAUUCCAUUCAGUAAUCUCUUGCAGUUUGGACAUUUGUCCAAACAUUUGUCCCAAGAGGGAUCCUGUAGAGAGUGUUGGGGAGGAGUAAGAAAGGAAAAGGGAGGGGAAGGAGGAGGAAACUGAGUUGUUGCUGAAUAAACCUUUAGUUAAUCUAAAUAAGAUUUCCUUGUAUGUAUGAGGGAAGCAUCUCUAAAACAUUUGGCGAUGAAAUUUUGAACCAGCUAUGUGUUUGAGCCUGUCAUGCUUGUGAAUGUUUCUGCAACCUCAUUUCAUUGCAUUAUUGGGCCUAAAUACCUGUACUGCUGAUUGUUUCUCUGGCUUCUUGACCCGCACAACCCCUGAAGGUUGUACAGGUCACCUACAAACAAGGUGAUCCAGUUCAUGGCUGCAGCUUUUGCGAGGGAGGUCUUCUUUAAGAACUAGUGACUGACAAUGGGACACAGUUUACCUCAUUUGAAAUGGAGCAAUAUUUAUAUAAUCAUGGGAUAAAACACAAGACUCGUUCCUUGUACCAUCCUUGAGGGAAUGGCUUAGUGGAAAGAAUAAACAGAUUAGUGAAAGAAAGUUUCCUACUGGCUACUAUGCAACAGCAACGCUGGAAAGAGGCAUUUCAUAAAACAAUAUUUGCUAAUCAAACUGCUCCUUAUUCUACUACAGGAAAAUCACCUUUUCUGAUUCUGACUGAGAGGAUGUAAGCUACCACCAAACUUACCCAAUAGCAACAACUGAUAGGGAUUUCCAUGCCAUCUCACCCUGAGGAUGCAGAGGUUUGUGAUUGGGCUGUGAAGUUCUACAAAAUGCUGUACAUCACCUGAAAUAAAGCUUCAGUUCAGCUGCAUCUAGAAUGCUGUAAUCUGUGCAGAUUCAUGACAUACUUUAGUCUCCUUAAUUCAACUAGAAUCACAAGUCUCUCACUGAACAUCUUUUGAAAAUACCCUAGAAGGGAUCCCCCCCACCUUCUUUUUAAAUAAAAGUGUUACU
Hemicordylus capensis (graceful crag lizard) is the source of this 3926-nucleotide long non-coding RNA. RefSeq lists it as uncharacterized. The transcript has 3 exons. Lineage: Eukaryota; Metazoa; Chordata; Lepidosauria; Squamata; Cordylidae. The record is from RefSeq and is a predicted model, not a curated record.